RNAcentral lists this unclassified non-coding RNA (391 nucleotides) under soil metagenome. RNAcentral describes it as "partial contains 5.8S ribosomal RNA, internal transcribed spacer 2, and large subunit ribosomal RNA". The stretch from base 1 to 122 matches the Rfam family "5.8S ribosomal RNA", at positions 35 to 154 of the family's 154-position model. The record is from RNAcentral.
GAUGAAGAACGUAGCGAAAUGCGAUACUUGGUGUGAAUUGCAGAAUCCCGUGAACCAUCGAGUCUUUGAACGCAAGUUGCGCCCGAAGCCACUAGGCCGAGGGCACGCCUGCCUGGGCGUCACACGCCGUUGCCCCCCCAUCUACUCCUUCGGGAUUGCGGGGGGGCGGAUGAUGGCCUCCUGUGCGCCUAGCCGCGCGGUUGGCAUAAAUACCAAGUCCUCGGCGACGCACGCCACGACAUUCGGUGGUUGCGAAACCUCGGUUGCCCGUCGUGUGCGUUCGUCGCGCAUCGAGGGCUCGAAAAAAUGCUCGGCUCCGGCUGGGCUUUCAACGCGACCCCAGGUCAGGCGGGGUUACCCGCUGAAUUUAAGCAUAUCAAUAAGCGGAGGA